RNAcentral lists this ribosomal RNA (446 nucleotides) under uncultured bacterium. RNAcentral's name for it is "partial 16S ribosomal RNA". It matches the Rfam family "Bacterial small subunit ribosomal RNA", at positions 338 to 795 of the family's 1533-position model. The record is from RNAcentral.
CCUACGGGUGGCAGCAGUCGAGAAUCAUUCACAAUGGGGGAAACCCUGAUGGUGCGACGCCGCGUGGGGGAAUGAAGGUCUUCGGAUUGUAAACCCCUGUCAUGUGGGAGCAAAUUAAAAAGAUAGUACCACAAGAGGAAGAGACGGCUAACUCUGUGCCAGCAGCCGCGGUAAUACAGAGGUCUCAAGCGUUGUUCGGAGUCACUGGGCGUAAAGUGUGCGUAGGCUGUUUCGUAAGUCGUGUGUGAAAGGCGCGGGCUCAACCCGCGGACGGCACAUGAUACUGCGGGACUAGAGUAAUGGAGGGGGAACCGGAAUUCUCGGUGUAGCAGUGAAAUGCGUAGAUAUCGAGAGGAACACUCGUGGCGAAGGCGGGUUCCUGGACAUUAACUGACGCUGAGGCACGAAGGCCAGGGGAGCGAAAGGGAUUAGAUACCCGAGUAGUC